AACUAUAAUACUAUGGCAGCAUAGGGAUUCCCCCCUGUACUAAGCAUAAUUCACAAUGUACUAAGGGGGCCCCACAAAAAUGAUUUCAAUUGGGCUCCGCAGUUGGUAAGACCGGCCCUGAUGGCCAUUUAGUCAAAUGCAAACAAACAUUCAAAGUUUUUCAAAAUUUUUCAAGAAGACAUAGUUAUACUGUACCUGACAAUAUCAUUACAGAUAGCUGUUUAAACACAUAUAUAGCCCCAUUAUACAGGUGAGGUUCAAGCUAUACAUUAAUCAAAGCUUUUAAAAUUGUUUAGAAAUUUAUUUUCAUUUUUUACCUUGGAGAGAAGAGGAGGAGGACAACUUUUACUCUUAUGUAGAGGAAAAUGUUUUGAGUUUUAAAGUUUUAGAAUUUUAAAAUGUUAGAGUUUGCACAAAAAUGUUUUAAUAUUAAUUAGAAUUGAAGAAGAAGAAGGAGUGGAUUCUUUACUCUCAAGUAAAUCACAAAACAUCAAACUCAUAAUUAAGUCCCAAGGGUAAACGUGUAUGGACAUAAAAAAUCUAAAAAACCUCCCUUCUUGCUAGAAGACUAAGUAAAUCACUCCCUCUCACCCCCAAUCUAACUUUCCCAAUGCCUUGGACUGAAAAGAAAUUAGUUUUACUCCUAUUGCAUAGUGCAAAGUGUUUUGUUAUAUUGCUUUUCUCCGCUGCUAAGGGAUUUUUUAUCUGACUUAAAUGUUCCCUUAUUCUUUCUUUCAGUGAUCUAUUAGUACAACCCACAUCUUGCUUCUGGCCCUUUAAACAGAAAUUUUUGUAUGUUGGCAAGUUAUACACCUACGACUACCACACUUAUAAUUCCUUGAAGGCUGAAGAAAACUUGAUGACACUAAAUCCUUAAGUGUAUGGGCUCACUUAGGAAUAGCACUAAUUCUCUGAUUCAAUAUACUGAAGAAAUCAUUAUCUGCAAUAAUGUAGGCAAUCUUUUAAGAAUGUUGAAAAUCCUAUAGUAUUGUUUACUAUAUCUAGUGACGAAUGUAAUUUUAUCUGCCCAUUUAUGACCUUGUUUUUUCUCAUCUACCCAGGCUAGCAACUGCUUUCUCUCCACAUUCAGGCCUGAUGUUUAUAACCUCGUUCCAUAAAUCUCCUACCUAUAUCUCCAGCCUGAUCACAUAUAAAUAUGUCUUCUUGAAAAAUUUUAAAUGUUUGUUUGCAUUUGACUAAAUGGCCAUUCUACUAUUUGAUUAUUGCUGUUAAAAUGUAACCAAUGGAGAGUAAAUGGUUGAAUUUC
This is a long non-coding RNA of Xenopus tropicalis (tropical clawed frog), 1267 nucleotides long. RefSeq lists it as uncharacterized. Lineage: Eukaryota; Metazoa; Chordata; Amphibia; Anura; Pipidae. The transcript has 2 exons. The record is from RefSeq and is a predicted model, not a curated record.